AUUGAACGCUAGCGGAAUGCUUUACACAUGCAAGUCGAACGGCAGCACGGACUUCGGUCUGGUGGCGAGCGGCGAACGGGUGAGUAAUGUAUCGGAACGUGCCCAGUCGUGGGGGAUAACGUAGUGAAAAUUACGCUAAUACCGCAUACGAUCUAUGGAUGAAAGCGGGGGAUCGCAAGACCUCGCGCGAUUGGAGCGGCCGAUAUCAGAUUAGGUAGUUGGUGGGGUAAAGGCCCACCAAGCCAACGAUCUGUAGCUGGUCUGAGAGGACGACCAGCCACACUGGAACUGAGACACGGUCCAGACUCCUACGGGAGGCAGCAGUGGGGAAUUUUGGACAAUGGGCGAAAGCCCGAUCCAGCCAUUCCGCGUGCAGGAUGAAGGCCCUCGGGUUGUAAACUGCUUUUGUACAGAACGAAAAGGUUUCUGCUAAUACUAGGAGCUCAUGACGGUACUGUAAGAAUAAGCACCGGCUAACUACGUGCCAGCAGCCGCGGUAA
Molecule: ribosomal RNA, 500 nt
Filed under: uncultured bacterium
Lineage: Bacteria
Description: partial 16S ribosomal RNA
Rfam family: Bacterial small subunit ribosomal RNA
Source: RNAcentral